AAUGAACGCUGGCAGCAUGCCUAACACAUGCAAGUCGAACGAAGGCUUCGGCCUUAGUGGCGCACGGGUGCGUAACGCGUGGGAAUCUGCCCUCAGGUUCGGAAUAACAGCGAGAAAUUGCUGCUAAUACCGGAUGAUAUCGCGAGAUCAAAGAUUUAUCGCCUAAGGAUGAGCCCGCGUAGGAUUAGCUAGUUGGUGUGGUAAAGGCGCACCAAGGCGACGAUCCGUAGCUGGUCUGAGAGGAUGAUCAGCCACACUGGGACUGAGACACGGCCCAGACUCCUACGGGAGGCAGCAGUGGGGAAUAUUGGACAAUGGGCGAAAGCCUGAUCCAGCAAUGCCGCGUGAGUGAUGAAGGCCUUAGGGUUGUAAAGCUCUUUUACCCGGGAUGAUAAUGACAGUACCGGGAGAAUAAGCUCCGGCUAACUCCGUGCCAGCAGCCGCCGCAG
RNAcentral lists this ribosomal RNA (449 nucleotides) under uncultured bacterium. RNAcentral describes it as "partial 16S ribosomal RNA". It matches the Rfam family "Bacterial small subunit ribosomal RNA", at positions 29 to 523 of the family's 1533-position model. The record is from RNAcentral.